AGGAUUGCUUAUGAACAGCUUUUUCAGGAGGAUCUUAUCAAGCGUCUUGAAUCGGAGAUCUCUGGCCACUUCGAGAGAGCGGUGUACCGAUGGAUGCUGGAUCCAGAGGACAGAGAUGCUGUGUUGGCCAACAUAGCCAUAAGGAAGCCCAAGGAAGAUUUUGCUGUGCUCGUUGAGCUUUCUUGCAUCUACUCUCCUGAAGAGCUAUUGGGGGUCAGGAGGGCUUACCAGCACCGGUACAAGCGCUCCUUAGAGGAAGAUGUUGCUGCCAGCACCAACGACGAUUUGCGCACGCUGUUGGUUGGAUUAGUGAGUGCAUACCGUUACAAUGGAGCGGAUGUAGAUCUAAGCCUGGCUAAAUCAGAAGCGGAGAGACUUGAGCGUGCAAUCAGAGACAAAACCUUCUAUCAUGAAGAUGUUAUCAGGAUCUUAACCACAAGGAGUAGGCCACAGCUGGUUGCAACUUUCAAUCACUACAAAG
RNAcentral lists this unclassified non-coding RNA (481 nucleotides) under Hevea brasiliensis (rubber tree). Lineage: Eukaryota; Viridiplantae; Streptophyta; Magnoliopsida; Malpighiales; Euphorbiaceae. The record is from RNAcentral.